AUACGAUGAUGAGGAUAUUUUCUAAGUAUUUCCUUAAAUCUCUCCCAACUUUCAUAAAUUAACUCUCCUUCAAACUUGAUAAAAGAUGUGAUAUUAUUCCUAAGAUU
This is a small nucleolar RNA of Dendrobium catenatum, 107 nucleotides long. The record is from RefSeq and is a predicted model, not a curated record. Lineage: Eukaryota; Viridiplantae; Streptophyta; Magnoliopsida; Asparagales; Orchidaceae.